UAUCUCUGUAGAGUCUGCAUAUCAAUAAGCGGAGGAAAAGAAACUAACUAGGAUUCCCUUAGUAACGGCGAGUGAAGCGGGAAGAGCUCAAAUUUGAAAUCUUCAAGGUUCUACCUUGACGAAUUGUAGUUUAAAGAAGUGCUUUUCUGUUGAGAGUUUGGUAAAAGUUCUUUGGAAUAGGACAUCAUAGAGGGUGAGAAUCCCGUAUUUGACAUUAUUCAUUCUAGCGUUGUGAUACACUUUCAAAGAGUCGGAUUGUUUGGGAAUGCAGUCCAAAAUGGGUGGUAAAUUUCAUCUAAAGCUAAAUAUUGGCGAGAGACCGAUAGCGAACAAGUACCGUGAGGGAAAGAUGAAAAGAACUUUGAAAAGAGAGUUAAACAGUACGUGAAAUUGUCAAAAGGGAAGCGUUUGACACCAGUGUUGUUUUUCCGAAAAUCAAUUACGAAUGGCUUGAUUCUGUGUUGUAUUGACCUUAUCAGCUUUCUUCACUUUUUUCGAGUCUUUCUUAAUGCACUUUUCGGUUAACAAGUCAACAUCAAUUUCUUUUGUUGUAAAAGAGUAUUCGGAAGGUGGCUUUCUUUUCGGAGAAAGUGUUUAUAGCCCUAUACUUCUACAAUCGGAGAGAUUGAGGUCUGCAGCGUAGAUCCUUCGGGGUUAGAUACAUUUGUGCUAAGUUAUAGCCUUUCAUAGACAACUUGUUGACUAUGAUCAGUCAUGUAGCUUACUCGCUUAUGCUAUUUUACCUACGCUUAGGAUGUUGAUCUGUAGUGCGUGCGC
RNAcentral lists this ribosomal RNA (777 nucleotides) under uncultured Neocallimastigales. RNAcentral's name for it is "partial large subunit ribosomal RNA". It matches the Rfam family "Eukaryotic large subunit ribosomal RNA", at positions 24 to 647 of the family's 3401-position model. Lineage: Eukaryota; Fungi; Neocallimastigomycota; Neocallimastigomycetes; Neocallimastigales. The record is from RNAcentral.